AGUACGAUCGCAAGAUUAAAACUCAAAGGAAUUGACGGGGCCCCGCACAAGCAGCGGAGCAUGCGGCUUAAUUCGACGCAACGCGAAGAACCUUACCAAGGCUUGACAUAUAGGGAAAAGUGGCAGAGAUGUCAUGUCCGCAAGGGCCCUAUACAGGUGGUGCAUGGUUGUCGUCAGCUCGUGUCGUGAGAUGUUGGGUUAAGUCCCGCAACGAGCGCAACCCUCGUUCUGUGUUGCCAGCAUUUAGUUGGGGACUCACAGGAGACUGCCGGGGUUAACUCGGAGGAAGGUGGGGAUGACGUCAAAUCAUCAUGCCCCUUAUGUCUUGGGCUGCACGCAUGCUACAAUGGCCGGUACAGAGGGCUGCAAUACCGUAAGGUGGAGCGAAUCCCAAAAAGCCGGUCUCAGUUCGGAUUGAGGUCUGCAACUCGACCUCAUGAAGUUGGAGUUGCUAGUAAUCGUAGAUCAGCAUCGCUACGGUGAAUACGUUCCCGGGGCUUGUACACACCGCCCGUCACGUCACGAAAGUCGGUAACACCCAAAGUCAGUGGCCCAACCGCAAGGGGGGAGCUGCCUAAGGUGGGAUCGGUGAUUGGGACG
RNAcentral lists this ribosomal RNA (600 nucleotides) under uncultured bacterium. RNAcentral describes it as "bacterial SSU rRNA". It matches the Rfam family "Bacterial small subunit ribosomal RNA", at positions 879 to 1482 of the family's 1533-position model. The record is from RNAcentral.